Molecule: ribosomal RNA, 449 nt
Filed under: uncultured bacterium
Lineage: Bacteria
Description: partial 16S ribosomal RNA
Rfam family: Bacterial small subunit ribosomal RNA
Source: RNAcentral
AAUGAACGCUGGCGGCAUGCCUAACACAUGCAAGUCGAACGAAGGCUUCGGCCUUAGUGGCGCACGGGUGCGUAACGCGUGGGAAUCUGCCCUCAGGUUCGGAAUAACAGCGAGAAAUUGCUGCUAAUACCGGAUGAUAUCGCGAGAUCAAAGAUUUAUCGCCUGAGGAUGAGCCCGCGUAAGAUUAGCUAGUUGGUGUGGUAAAGGAGCACCAAGGGGACGAUCCUUAGCUGGUCGGAGAGGAUGAUCAGCCACACUGGGACUGCGACACGGCCCAGACUCCUACGGGAGGCAGCAGUGGGGAAUAUUGGACAAUGGGCGAAAGCCUGAUCCAGCAAUGCCGCGUGAGUGAUGAAGGCCUUAGGGUUGUAAAGCUCUUUUACCCGGGAUGAUAAUGACAGUACCGGGAGAAUAAGCUCCGGCUAACUCCGUGCCAGCCGCCGCCGUAA